Pteropus alecto (black flying fox) is the source of this 694-nucleotide long non-coding RNA. RefSeq lists it as uncharacterized. NCBI's taxonomy places the organism in Eukaryota, Metazoa, Chordata, Mammalia, Chiroptera, Pteropodidae. The record is from RefSeq and is a predicted model, not a curated record. The transcript is spliced from 2 exons.
AUGGCAUCAACACGCGUGGAGCGGAUUCAUCCUUCCGUCUCACACCUGUGAGAGCUCGAACUUUAAAACUCGAGUCUUAGUUUGUCAGUUGGGAAAUUUGUAACUAUUCAAUGACUUGCCGGAUGUGAAUUCUCGUCGGGGUGGUGGAACGUGGCUACUGCGGAAAUGAUUUCCUUUGGUCAGAUCCAUGAGUUUCUAAGCCUUCCGAAAGACCCAUCAGGCAGCUGCAGCCAGGAUGGAAUGUUAGCCAUGCCACCGGAUCCGAACCGGAGGGAACAUGCCUUUCAUCUUAAUUCCAGGCUGGACAAGGGAACGCACUAUAUUCUCCGCUCUGUACGAACAAGAGGAAACUUUCCCAGAGUGUUUUUCUUUUGCAUUUCUGAGUCUUAUUGGAUUGGAAGCUUGUCCAUGCGGCCCAGCAGGGUCCAUUUUCCAUAAUAAGGCUAAAAAUAUGUCGGCAAUGUUUUCUUUAGCACGGUCUACGAGGGUCAGGCACGAAAGUGCCAGAACUCCUUUUCUUGCUGAUUCUAGUUCACCUUUCCCCGGAGACGGUCCCGCUGUUAGCCUACCUUUCUUACUCGGUGUUAUUCUUCUGAUAGGCCACGUAACCCGGCGUGUAAUCCAACAUGGAAUAAUUGUAGAAAUUUAUUCCACGUCCCUCUAAAAUACAGAUUUUGUUCUUUCUUGAUGGUUA